Molecule: non-coding RNA, 503 nt
Organism: Pelobates cultripes (western spadefoot toad)
Lineage: Eukaryota; Metazoa; Chordata; Amphibia; Anura; Pelobatidae
Source: the annotation of a GenBank genome assembly
CUGCUAUUUUGGAAUUCACUUCUCAAUUCUCUUUUUUAUGAAUAAAGCUCUAAGUCUAAGUAAAUGUUUAUUUACACAACAGCACUUUUCGCGUUAGUACCAAUCAAACACGGCCAACAGAUACAUCUGGCAGUGAAGGUGUUAAAAAUAAUUACCAAUAGCUUACUGGGGAUGAGAGACAUUAAAUGGAAAGUAAAUGAAUAAAGGGGAGGGAGUAAACACCAGCCUAAGCAUCUAAGGGAAGCUAGCCAAUAGGAUGAUAGACAGAGACAGAGUUACUGACCAAUAAGGUGAAAGAGGUGUCAUUGUAAGGUAACCUGGUCUAUACCAUAAUUCACAAGUGAGAAUGUGAAUUAAACGUUUGUUUAUGGAUUAAAAAAAAUCUGUUCACUUUUAUAUCUUAUAUUUUCCCUUUCAAUUACGCUCAAGAAUAUUAAAGUCCUCUUUAUACAUGACCCACUUUUGUUUAGCAAUGAAUUACUAUAUAGCAAAUUAUUUAAUUG